GGGGCUGAGGUGGCUCAGUGGCAGAGAAUCUGCUUGGCAUGCUGAAAGUCUUGAGUUCAAUUCCAAGCGUCUCCA
Molecule: transfer RNA, 75 nt
Filed under: Sphaerodactylus townsendi
Lineage: Eukaryota; Metazoa; Chordata; Lepidosauria; Squamata; Sphaerodactylidae
Description: tRNA-Ala
Rfam family: tRNA
About the family: Transfer RNA (tRNA) molecules are approximately 80 nucleotides in length. Their secondary structure includes four short double-helical elements and three loops (D, anti-codon, and T loops). Further hydrogen bonds mediate the characteristic L-shaped molecular structure. tRNAs have two regions of fundamental functional importance: the anti-codon, which is responsible for specific mRNA codon recognition, and the 3' end, to which the tRNAs corresponding amino acid is attached (by aminoacyl-tRNA synthetases). tRNAs cope with the degeneracy of the genetic code in two manners: having more than one tRNA (with a specific anti-codon) for a particular amino acid; and 'wobble' base-pairing, i.e. permitting non-standard base-pairing at the 3rd anti-codon position.
Source: RNAcentral